AUUAGCUAGUUGGUAAGGUAACGGCUUACCAAGGCAAUGAUGCAUAGCCGAGUUGAGAGACUGAUCGGCCACAUUGGGACUGAGACACGGCCCAAACUCCUACGGGAGGCAGCAGUAGGGAAUCUUCCACAAUGGACGAAAGUCUGAUGGAGCAACGCCGCGUGAGUGAAGAAGGGUUUCGGCUCGUAAAGCUCUGUUGGUAGUGAAGAAAGAUAGAGGUAGUAACUGGCCUUUAUUUGACGGUAAUUACUUAGAAAGUCACGGCUAACUACGUGCCAGCAGCCGCGGUAAUACGUAGGUGGCAAGCGUUGUCCGGAUUUAUUGGGCGUAAAGCGAGUGCAGGCGGUUCAAUAAGUCUGAUGUGAAAGCCUUCGGCUCAACCGGAGAAUUGCAUCAGAAACUGUUGAACUUGAGUGCAGAAGAGGAGAGUGGAACUCCAUGUGUAGCGGUGAAAUGCGUAGA
Molecule: ribosomal RNA, 462 nt
Filed under: uncultured bacterium
Lineage: Bacteria
Description: bacterial SSU rRNA
Rfam family: Bacterial small subunit ribosomal RNA
Source: RNAcentral